GCCACACCCGUUCCCAUUCCGAACACGGAAGUUAAGCUCUCCAACGCCGAUGGUACUGCCUUCUAGGUGGGAGAGUAGGUCGUCGCCAGGC
This 91-nucleotide ribosomal RNA is filed under the name Treponema sp. Lineage: Bacteria; Pseudomonadati; Spirochaetota; Spirochaetia; Treponematales; Treponemataceae. The record is from RNAcentral.